CAGCGGUGAUGAACAUUCAACUGUGACCGAAGACGCUUGUCGUCAGUGACGGUACACAACCCUCUAAGAAGUUCUGAGCUC
Small nucleolar RNA from Salvia splendens (bonfire salvia), 81 nucleotides. RefSeq annotates it as small nucleolar RNA U61. The record is from RefSeq and is a predicted model, not a curated record. The transcript has a single exon. Lineage: Eukaryota; Viridiplantae; Streptophyta; Magnoliopsida; Lamiales; Lamiaceae.